AAUAAGUGUAGUUUUACACUAUUCACGUUUAACGUUUGACCAUUCGUCUUAUUUAAAAAUUUUUUAUGAUUAAUAUUUUUAUUGCUAUUAGAUGAUAAAACAUGAAUAGCACUUUAUGUGUGACUAAAUAUUUUCAAAUUUUUCACAAAUUUUUUAAAUAAGACGGACGGUCAAACGUUGGGCACGGAUAUCCACGGCUG
This 200-nucleotide microRNA precursor is filed under the name Oryza barthii. Its description in RNAcentral is "MIR812 microRNA precursor family". It matches the Rfam family "MIR812 microRNA precursor family". Lineage: Eukaryota; Viridiplantae; Streptophyta; Magnoliopsida; Poales; Poaceae. The record is from Rfam by way of RNAcentral.